Molecule: non-coding RNA, 74 nt
Organism: Galeopterus variegatus (Sunda flying lemur)
Lineage: Eukaryota; Metazoa; Chordata; Mammalia; Dermoptera; Cynocephalidae
Source: the annotation of a RefSeq genome assembly
GGCUGGUUAGCUCAGUCGGUUAGAGCAUGGUGCUGAUAAUACCAAGGUCCGGGGUUCGAUCCUCCUACCAGCCA